GACGAACGCUGGCGGCGUGCUUAACACAUGCAAGUCGAGCGAGGCCCACCUUUCGGGGUGGUGUCCUAGCGGCGAACGGGUGAGUAACACGUGGGCAACCUGCCCCCGGCUCGGGGAUAACCCCAAGAAAUUGGGGCUAAUACCGGAUACGACCGCUGACCGCAUGGUCUGGUGGUGGAAAGAUUUAUCGGCUGGGGAUGGGCCCGCGGCCUAUCAGCUUGUUGGUGGGGUAGUGGCCUACCAAGGCGACGACGGGUAGCCGGCCUGAGAGGGUGGCCGGACAAGCUGGGACUGAGACACGGCCCAGACGCCUACGGGAGGCAGCAGGGGGGAAUAUUGCGCAAUGGGCGAAAGCCUGACGCAGCGACGCCGCGUGGGGGAUGACGGCCUUCGGGUUGUAAACCUCUUUCAGCAGGGACGAAGCCCGCAAGGGUGACGGUACCUGCAGAAGAAGCACCGGCCAACUACGUGCCAGCCGCCGCGGUAA
This 487-nucleotide ribosomal RNA is filed under the name uncultured bacterium. Its description in RNAcentral is "partial 16S ribosomal RNA". It matches the Rfam family "Bacterial small subunit ribosomal RNA", at positions 28 to 523 of the family's 1533-position model. The record is from RNAcentral.